This 87-nucleotide transfer RNA is filed under the name Spirochaetia bacterium. RNAcentral's name for it is "tRNA-Ser". It matches the Rfam family "tRNA". Rfam says of the family: Transfer RNA (tRNA) molecules are approximately 80 nucleotides in length. Their secondary structure includes four short double-helical elements and three loops (D, anti-codon, and T loops). Lineage: Bacteria; Pseudomonadati; Spirochaetota; Spirochaetia. The record is from RNAcentral.
UGGAGAGAUGGCCGAGCGGUCGAAGGCGCACGCUUGGAAAGCGUGUGAUCCGCAAGGAUCCGAGGGUUCGAAUCCCUCUUUCUCCGA